UACGAAGGACCCAAGCGUUAUCCGGAUUUAUUGGGUUUAAAGGGUGCGUAGGCGGGUUGUUAAGUCAGUGGUGAAAGCCUACAGCUUAACUGUAGAAUUGCCAUUGAUACUGACGAUCUUGAGUAUGAUUGAGGUGGGCGGAAUGUGUCAUGUAGCGGUGAAAUGCUUAGAUAUGACACAGAACACCGAUUGCGAAGGCAGCUCACUAAGCCAUAACUGACGCUGAUGCACGAAAGCGUGGGGAGCAAACAGG
This 253-nucleotide ribosomal RNA is filed under the name uncultured bacterium. RNAcentral's name for it is "partial 16S ribosomal RNA". It matches the Rfam family "Bacterial small subunit ribosomal RNA", at positions 524 to 776 of the family's 1533-position model. The record is from RNAcentral.